This 274-nucleotide ribosomal RNA is filed under the name uncultured bacterium. RNAcentral's name for it is "partial 16S ribosomal RNA". It matches the Rfam family "Bacterial small subunit ribosomal RNA", at positions 523 to 796 of the family's 1533-position model. The record is from RNAcentral.
AUACAGGGGGUGCGAGCGUUAAUCGGAAUUACUGGGCGUAAAGCGCGCGUAGGCGGUUUCGUAAGACAGAGGUGAAAUCCCCGGGCUCAACCUGGGAACUGCCUUUGUGACUGCGAGGCUAGAGUACGGCAGAGGGGGGUGGAAUUCCACGUGUAGCAGUGAAAUGCGUAGAGAUGUGGAGGAACACCGAUGGCGAAGGCAGCCCCCUGGGCCGAUACUGACGCUCAUGCACGAAAGCGUGGGUAGCAAACAGGAUUAGAAACCCCAGUAGUCC